RNAcentral lists this ribosomal RNA (305 nucleotides) under uncultured bacterium. Its description in RNAcentral is "bacterial SSU rRNA". It matches the Rfam family "Bacterial small subunit ribosomal RNA", at positions 335 to 638 of the family's 1533-position model. The record is from RNAcentral.
GCCCUACGGGACGCAGCAGUGAGGAAUAUUGGUUAAUGGGCUUACGCCUGAACCAGCCAAGUCGCGUGAGGGAAGACUGCCCUAUGGGUUGUAAACCUCUUUUGUCAGGGAGCGACGCCGGCUACGUGUAGCCGGACUGAGAGUACCCGAAGAAAAAGCAUCGGCUAACUCCGUGCCAGCAGCCGCGGUAAUACGGAGGAUGCGAGCGUUAUCCGGAUUUAUUGGGUUUAAAGGGUGCGUAGGCGGAAUGCCAAGUCAGCGGUAAAAUCGCGGGGCUCAACCUCGCUCCGCCGUUGAAACUGGCG